This is a long non-coding RNA of Onychomys torridus (southern grasshopper mouse), 4962 nucleotides long. RefSeq lists it as uncharacterized. The transcript has 2 exons. NCBI's taxonomy places the organism in Eukaryota, Metazoa, Chordata, Mammalia, Rodentia, Cricetidae. The record is from RefSeq and is a predicted model, not a curated record.
UGCAUAUAUAUGGUAGUAAGCAAUAUUCACACAAUAUUUUUAUUCAUAAUAAAACACCUAAGUUACCAUAUUGUUAAUAAAAGGAAUCUUGAGGCUUUUAAAUUUUAAUUCUAGAAUUUCAUAGCCAGAAUAUUCUUUUUCUUUUUUCUGGGACAGGAAAUUGUUAACAAAGUGGAUCAUACACCCUUAGUAACCUUUUAAACCACAUGUAUUUGCUAAAAUUAUUGGAUUCUCAAAGCAACAUAAGUCAAAGCACAGUGUUUACAUGGCACCUUGUGACUUAAUGUUUCAAUACACUGUAAUGUAAGUUUGGAGAGAAAUUUCAGUUCUGUGCUCUCAGGAAAUGUACUGUGUUCCCCAGUGUACUUUCAUGCUAUUUCUUGAAGCCUUUCUAAGCAGCUUUGGGAAAAUCAUAUCCGCACAACACUCUAUCCACAAAUAUCUCUACCGUCUUGAUGCAACAGAAACAGUAGUUGCAUAUGUAUUUAUAUCCUUUUCAUGUGAUACAAAAAUGUAUAUUGUCUGGUGUAUCAUCUCUACUUAACAUUAUUUCUAUUAUAAAUGAUACUUAUGAUUGAUGACAUAAUUAAUCACAGAUUUCUCCUACUGAAAUGAUACAGUUUAGUUCACUAUCCUAUAGAUGCCAAUAUUAAGAAGGUACAACUGUUUCUCAGUAAAGACUCACUAACUAAACUUAUAACUCAAGUCCCCAACUGAGUCUGUAAGAACCAUCAGGCUUCACACCAGGAUUCUUCCUAGGUGUUGUGAUCAAGGGAAGUCAUAGUCCUCUCCUGGGAAGGGUCUAACAUAACAAAUUUAUUUAUAAUAACUGAAAAUGAAAGGGCUUACAGUGGUGUUCAGUAAUUGUGAUAGGUAAAAUAUACACAUACAUGCAUGUUCUUUGGGAAAACAUUUUGUAUGUGUAUUCAUAAAUGUACUGUGGGAUGAGUGUCCACAUUCAGCAUUCAGGGCGUGGUUUCUUUACAACUAAUGGUUAUGUGUAUUUUUUAAUUUUCAAAUGUACAGAUGCCUGUAGAAAUGAUGUCUCUGAACAAGUCAUUUAACCUUGGCUAGUGGAAUAUAUCCAAUGCCCUGUAGUAGAAUUUCCACCUUCAUUACUACUGUGCUUUUAUUGUGCAGUUUCUGUUUUGUGUUUAGAUAGCAGAUGUCAAAUACGUCAGGAGUGUCUGUUUGGCUGACUUGAUACAGUUGCUGACCCUAGCUCUCUAAAGUAGAAAUCAUUAUAAACCAAAUAGGACUAAACCCUGGAGUCUGGAGUCUAGUAAACUUAUUUAUACAAACUGUAAAAAUUUCCUUUAAAAGAUCAAAUUAGUUAUUAAACAUGUUUAGAAAAUAGCUCAUUAAUGGUAUAAUCCAAUAGCUGGUCAUUGAUUAUGACAAGGUAUUACUCUGGCAAAAAAUGAUGAUUUUGCCAGGCUUAGUAAUACAAGCACUCAGGAGGCUGAAGUAGGGGAAUUGCAAAUUGGAGGCUAUCCUGUCUGCAUGGUAUAACAAGGCCCUGUCUCAACAAACAAAAGAAGAAACAACAAGGGCCUGGGGUUACAACUUUGGUAGAGUAUGUACCUAACUAACAUGUGUGAGAUCCUGGGCUUAAUCCCUAGCAACACUAGAAAUGAUCCUUACUUCAAAAAUUAAUUUAAAAUGAUAAUUAUUUUUAUAUAGAACAAGUAUCAUGACUUAGUGAUUGAAGUUGAUUGCUAAGGCCACCAAAUUAGUUAUAAUUAUUUUAAAUGGGUAAAUUCAAGAUAUAAAAAGUUUGAAAAUGACAAGAAAAUAGCCAUCUACUUAUUUUUGUGUCUACUGAAACAGUCCUUCAUUGUACAGAAUUAGCCUGGAGGACCUUACCUCCACAGUAACUAAUCUUUAUACUAAAUAAGAAAAGGGCAGCCCUGAAGUUUUGUGCACAUAAAUAGUUCAUUUUAUAAAAACAUGUAUAUAUAUAUACACACACAUACACACACACACACACACACACACACACACACACACACACAGCUAUGUGUACAAUAUGUAACUAUCUCCCAAAAGUAAUGAUUGAUAAAGCUAAAUAUAUUUGCCCAUGUUACAGCUAGUGUUCUAAGGUUUCUAAUUACUUUCAAAUUCCUAGACAUUCUGAUCUAUUUUAGAUUCUUUUAAGAAGCUUUGGCUCCACCUUGAAGCUAAUGCUAAUCUCCUUUCUGAAGACUUUACUAGAGAAACUAAGCCCGGAAAACUGUUUUUCAUUAUUAGAAUUUAAUUUCCGUAAGAAAAAACAUUUCUGGAUGGAGGCCUCUUGGGAAAUAUUUACUUCAACUUUGAAGUGAAAUUGUGCUAUAAUCUAGACUUAAAGAUUACAGUGCCUGUGCGCCUCCUGUUCCAAGGGAUUGCUGUGAGAAUUCUUACAACAUCUGUAAUGUAUUUGGAGUUCUUGGGAGAAAUUAAGUAUUUUAAAUAAUGAGAUUAUUGUAUAUAACAAUAUUCACAGAUUUUUUAAGAAUACAUUUGAUGAAUAAUUCAGCAUCAUAUUGGUCUUUUUGUAAGUAUAUGUGAUACACCUGAAGAUGAUAAUUCUGUAGUUUUUUUAAGGUAAGGUUAUUUUUAAAUUGUAUUUUUGUUUUAGCUUUAAAGUUAUAUUCUUUUAAAAAUAUUUCUCAUAUUUCAUCUUGUUACUUUGUAUCCUGGAGUGACUUUCGAAAAAUGCACAGAAUCACACGUCCUUAGUGGACUAAAAAGCAGGAGAAUGAUGCUCUCUUUUCUAAGGUUCUCUGACUGAAUCUGCAGCUCGCUGGUUGGCUAAUCUGGCAUCUCUGCCUUCCAGUGAUGGUAUCACAGAGGUGAUCACAAUGCCUGGCAGUCUACAUAUGUGCCAGGGACCCAACUGAGGAUCCCAUGCUUGUACAACAGUCACCCUUUCAUACUUUCUAUUUUAUAUGACCCAUCAUGAGAAGGCUAAUAUAAAGCUCCAACCAGAAUAUAAAAGAAAGGAAGUAACUCUUUUUGCCAUUUGUUUCAAUCUCAAAAGUCCCUGAAUUGCAAUGCACCACUGCUAGGUUUCUCCUGAACUCUAGACAUGCAUUCCUAUGCCCAUACAUGUGUGUUUUCUGCCUGUAGAUUCAUAUAUGUUCUGUCCAUAGCUUGCUCUUCGUGUCUGAUGUUAGAAAUAGACGAGUCACAGUACCAACUUCAUGCAACUACACACUUGCAUUUCUUUCCUAAUUUAUGAUCAGUUUAUUUCUGAGCAGUGCUGCUGGUACAACUUUAGCCCUGUAAAAGAUAGCUGUGUGUGUGAGGUGGAGUCUCGUUUUACUUCAUUUUUGGUACUCUUCCUUAUAAUCUGAAGGGGCCUCAUGGGCAAAGAGGAGGUGGAAACUACAUGCUAACAUGUAUCUCCCUACUGCUUCUGCCCAGAGGUAUUGGGUCUGAUCUACAAUAACAAAUACUUUCAGUGGAAUCGGGAGGCUUGGGGAGACUGUCCAAGACUGCUGAAGCAGAAGGACAUCAAAACAGAAUAAAUAGCAAACUAUACAUGGUUUAGAAUUUCCUUUGAUAGAAAUUGCAACAUGUGACAAAUUCCCAGAAUGCACUGGAAUUGUUCCAGACAUAGAAUGUUCAUCAAAGCAUAACAAAGUCAAAUAAAAGGAAUAUAUCUAAAUCCCCAUGUUGAGGUGGGUAAAAUCAGACAUCCUUAAUAUAAUUUUGUUUCAUGUACUCAAGUAGCAUUUGAAGUUCCCAGCAUGUCUGAAAGAAGAGAAAUUGCUUUCCUGUAGCAUUCGUAGCCUAAGAAGAAGGUUGAAGUCUCAGACUUUUGAUUUUCCACUCACUCCUGUUAUAAAAAAACAGGUGACAGAUGAGUCGAGUAAAAAGCCCUUGACUCUUCCCUCAAUGACUCAGAUUUUGGAUUACCAUGGUCACCAGGGGGCACUGUCUGUUGGCACAGCAUGCCUCUGAUAAAAAUAAACCAUUCACAAAAUCAGUGUGGAAAGUCAACAUUCUUAGCCCAAAAUCCAAAAGUAUUUUCUCAGUUCUAAAAAGUACCCAGCCUUGGCCAGUAGCACAUACUUCUGACAGACAAAGACAUUACUCGUGUUCUUUGCUUAGAGUGCAAAGUCCACUUAGAGUGAUAUGAAGAAUUAGUGGGAAGAUGCAAGAGUCCUUCAGGAUGGUGGCUUUGAUGGACAACUGCAUCCUCUCCAGGGCAAUGUCAGCAGAGGCAAACAAACGCUGCACAAUCUCAAACCUCUCAGUAUCUCUCAGAGGAGCCAAGGUGGGGUCUUCAAAAUCACAUACUCUGUCAUCAGACAGAGUGUCGAGCUGAAAUGACAAAUUUAAACAAACUUCAAAAUGUCCCAGAAAAUCCCAUUAGAUUAUUUUUUUUAAAGUUUCCUAAAUAGGUCAGUAAAACCAUUAAAUGUAACAAGAUACGUGUUUCUUCACUCUAAGACCUUAGUUAGGCCUGUUUUUCUCUGCCUGUAUCCCUGUCUGAAUCCUCACUGUGUUAAACUUUCUAGACCCAUUAGCCCAGUAGACUAGAGAAAUAAGCAUAUGUUUUUUGUAUGCCACAUACAAGGAUUCAUCUGACUUUACUGAUAAAUGUGUACAUUUUUAUGGGCUAUAUUAGAGUAAUUCAAUAUAAUAUAUAAUCUGUAAUAAAAAUCAGGGCAAUAAGAUACACUUCUAAUUAUUGUGAAAUAUGGGUGGUUUAUCUGUUACCUACUGUGUUAAAGAAGAUCCAGAAGUAUUCUUCCUGUCCGUGGUUUGAAGCUCAUUAGAUCUUCAUCCACCCGCCCCACUGCUUGUCUGAAUCUAAUGGUCAGGAUUCUACUUGUUCUUCUAAGAGUUUGACUUAGUAUUUCCACAAAUGCAUGAGUAUGUGUGUCCUAUGUCUGGCCUGUUUCAUUUAACAGUGACCUCCAGUUUCAGCCAUGUUGCUGCCAAUAAAUAACAUGGUUUAUUACAAGUGAA